RNAcentral lists this non-coding RNA (776 nucleotides) under Aulacus sinensis. The record is from RNAcentral. Lineage: Eukaryota; Metazoa; Arthropoda; Insecta; Hymenoptera; Aulacidae.
AAUAUUAAUGUUUAUAAAGAUAUUUAAAUUUAAGUUAAUUAAUUUAUUAUAAGAUAAAUAAAAAUUAAUAAUAUAUUAAUUGAAUUUAUAUAAAUAAAAUUUAUUGUAAAUAAUAAAAUAAAAAUUUAAAUAAUUUUAUUUAUUAAUAUAAAGUAAUUAAAAUUUAAAGAAAUUUAAAAUUUAUUAAUUUUAUAAUAUAUUUUAAUUUUGUGCCAGCUAAAGCGGUUAAACAAUUUAUAUAAAUAAAUUUAAAUUAAAUUUAAAUUUUUAAUAUAUUAAAAAAAUAAUUUUUUUAAAGUGAAAUUUAAAUUUAUUAAUAAAUUAAUAAAUAAAAAAAUUUAAAGUUAUAGAAAUAAACUAGGAUUAGAUACCCUAUUAUUUUAAUUUAUUUUGGGAGUAGUUUAAUAAAUGAAAUUAAAUAAAUUUGGCAGUAUUUUUUAUGUUUAAAGGAACUUAAUAUUUAAUUUGAUAAUACACGAUUUGAUAAACUUUAAUUAAUUUUAUAUAUUUUCGUUUAAAAAUUAUUUGAAAUUUAAAUUUAAAAUUUUUUAUAUUAAAAUAAUUCAGAUCAAAAUGUAGAAUAUUAAAGAAUUAUGGAGUUACAAUUAUUUUUAAUAAUGAAUUUAAUAAUUAAAUUUAUUAAUGAAAUUGAAUUUAAAAGUAAAUUUAUUAAGAUAUUUAAAUUGAUAUUUAAAUAAAAUAUGUUCAUAUUGCCCGUCAUUCUAAUUUUAGAGAAGUCGAAACAAAGUAAAGAUAUUGGAAAAUGUUUUUAGUUA